RNAcentral lists this long non-coding RNA (308 nucleotides) under Phoenix dactylifera (date palm). RNAcentral describes it as "long non-coding RNA (PDAC_LNC009841)". Lineage: Eukaryota; Viridiplantae; Streptophyta; Magnoliopsida; Arecales; Arecaceae. The record is from RNAcentral.
UUACUAUAUCAUGCAGCUUGUAGGCCAAAUUGUAUGCUCAUUUUGUGCUUAUAUGCAAAGAUAUCAAACUAAUUCUAAUGAAUCACAUCUAAUUGAUAUCAAAAGAUUCAUAAAAAUCUGUUAAGAUAAUAAAACUAAGUAAGUACUCCAAUCUUAGGUAAAAGCAAAACAAGCAUAAUAUAUUCAGCACAUUUGUAAGAAUUAUGUGAGCAUUCCUUUGGAUGGGAUAAAAUCCAUAAUCAACUAUAAUAGGAAGAGUUUGGAGUGAACAUUUUUAAAGAGAAAAGUUUAACCUUUCUACAUUGCUC